Long non-coding RNA from Mastomys coucha (southern multimammate mouse), 934 nucleotides. RefSeq lists it as uncharacterized. The record is from RefSeq and is a predicted model, not a curated record. The transcript is spliced from 3 exons. NCBI's taxonomy places the organism in Eukaryota, Metazoa, Chordata, Mammalia, Rodentia, Muridae.
CCAUCUGCCCCUGAGCUUUUUUUUGGGGGGGGGGUGGGAAUUUUGUUUUGUUUUGUUUUGUUUUUAUUCUUUCAUCUCUUUUUACAGUCCACACUUUAUCUUACCCCUGGUCCACCCUCCAACUGUUCCACAUCCCACACUCUUUCCCUCUGCCCCUGCUCCAAGAGGAUGUCCCCAUCUUCACCCCCCAUUCCACCAGAUCUCCCUACUCCCUGGGGCCCCAAGUCUCUUUAGGUACAUCUUCUCUGACUAAGUCCAGACCCAGAAGUCCUCAGCUGUAUAUGUUUUAGGGGUCUCAUAUCUGCUGGUAUAUACUGCUGGUUGGUGGCUCAGUGUCUGAGAGAUCCUGGGAGUUCAGGUAAUGUAUAAGUGGCUCAGCCAUGCAUGUACUCAGUCAGCAAGAUGACUCAGUGGGAAAAGGCCCUUGCAGUCAAGCCUGGCUGGCUCAGUUGAGGCAACAUGUCUUCUGGCCUCCACUCAAGUUAUAAAAUAAAAGUGCAGCAUGAAGGAUGUCAAGCUUAGGAUCUGAGAUGGAACUAGCAAGACAGAGUACAAGAACAUGUAGAUUUCACCAAGACUUGGUCUGAAGAGUUUUAAGUCUCACAAUCCACGAUCACUGUGCCGACAGCUUGCGAUUCAGUUCCAACAUUCUUUUAUGGCCUUUGGAUUCCUUUGCUAAUUCUGGCUACCAGGGCCCUGAGUUUUCUGGAAAUCAGGGUAGAAAAAAAAAUGUCUUUAAUAACCAUUGAGUUCAUCCUUUUUUUUUUUCUUUUUUUUCUUUUCCAUUUAGAAUGUGCACAUGCAAGUUAUUUUGUACCAAACUUGGGAUCAUUUACUUUCUUCUUGAAUAUUGGUGUUAAACAACAUUCUUAAAGCAAGGCUCUUUGAAACAUCAACAUUAUAAAGCUGUGGAAAAAUGAAUUAAAGCUAAUUU